UCACCGUUUGCACGGGCAGUUCCAUUAGAGUCCCCAACUAAAUGCUGGCAACAUACGACGGGGGUUGCGCUCGUUGCGGGACUUAACCCAACAUCUCACGACACGAGCUGACGACAGCCAUGCACCACCUGUGAAGGUGCCCCGAAGGGAAGCCGUGUUUCCACGGCGGUCACCCACAUGUCAAGCCCAGGUAAGGUUCUUCGCGUUGCGUCGAAUUAAACCACAUGCUCCGCUGCUUGUGCGGGCCCCCGUCAAUUCCUUUGAGUUUCAGUCUUGCGACCGUACUCCCCAGGCGGCGAACUUAACGCGUUAGCUUCGAUACUGCGUGCCAAAUUGCACCCAACAUCCAGUUCGCAUCGUUUAGGGCGUGGACUAC
RNAcentral lists this unclassified non-coding RNA (376 nucleotides) under uncultured bacterium. Its description in RNAcentral is "contains 16S-23S intergenic spacer region". The record is from RNAcentral.